UACCGCGGUUAUACGAGAGGCCCAAGUUGACAGGCUCCGGCGUAAAGCGUGGUUAAGGAACAACAAACACUAAAGCCGAACACUUACUAAGCUGUUAUACGCUUACGAAAAUAAGAAGCCCAUUCACGAAGGUGGCUUUACUAUACCUGAGCCCACGAAAGCUAAGACA
This 169-nucleotide ribosomal RNA is filed under the name Epinephelus akaara (Hong Kong grouper). Its description in RNAcentral is "partial 12S ribosomal RNA". The record is from RNAcentral. Lineage: Eukaryota; Metazoa; Chordata; Actinopteri; Perciformes; Serranidae.